CCUACGGGAGGCACCAGUGGGGAAUUUUCCGCAAUGGGCGCAAGCCUGAUCCAGCAAUGCCGCGUGUGUGAAGAAGGCCUUCGGGUUGUAAAGCACUUUUAUCAGGAACGAAAUACCACGGGUUAAUACCCUAUGGGGCUGACGGUACCUGAGGAAUAAGCACCGGCUAACUUCGUGCCAGCAGCCGCGGUAAUACGAAGGGUGCAAGCGUUAAUCGGAAUUACUGGGCGUAAAGCGUGCGUAGGCGGUUUGUUAAGUCUGCUGUGAAAGCCCUGGGCUCAACCUGGGAAUGGCAGUGGAAACUGGCGAGCUAGAGUGUGAUAGAGGAUGGUGGAAUUCCCGGUGUAGCGGUGAAAUGCGUAGAGAUCGGGAGGAACAUCAGUGGCGAAGGCGGCCAUCUGGAUCGACACUGACGCUGAGGCACGAAAGCGUGGGGAGCAAACAGGAUUAGAUACCCCUGUAGUC
RNAcentral lists this ribosomal RNA (465 nucleotides) under uncultured bacterium. Its description in RNAcentral is "bacterial SSU rRNA". It matches the Rfam family "Bacterial small subunit ribosomal RNA", at positions 338 to 795 of the family's 1533-position model. The record is from RNAcentral.